Non-coding RNA from Pelobates cultripes (western spadefoot toad), 268 nucleotides. The record is from the annotation of a GenBank genome assembly. Lineage: Eukaryota; Metazoa; Chordata; Amphibia; Anura; Pelobatidae.
CCAGGCUUCAUCCUCACUCACACCCCUAAAAUUAAAGUCCGUUUGGAAUGUUGGGAGGUAUGCUGUGUGAUCCUGCCAAUAGCCUUUAUUCAAAAUGACUUCCUUGUCUGUUCCAGGAUCCAAACCCCAUCCCAACUGGUCCAGCGGCAAUGUUCAAUAUUGCUUCAAAGGGUUUAAGAAGCCUUGCUAUUAGAUGUGUGUUUCUAAUAACAUAAAACAGAAAGGCAGCUCUCCUACGAAUAAUAUAUUUAAAAAAACCUGUCAGGGC